This 657-nucleotide long non-coding RNA is filed under the name Bos indicus x Bos taurus (hybrid cattle). Its description in RNAcentral is "lncRNA (ENSBIXG00005030561.1)". Lineage: Eukaryota; Metazoa; Chordata; Mammalia; Artiodactyla; Bovidae. The record is from RNAcentral.
AACAGGACAUAACUCUACCAAAAAUUACCAAGUUGUAAGCCUGAAAAAGAUACUGUGGGUGAAGUAGCAAGGACGUGACUACUGGAUGUGCCAGACUGGAAGCUUUUAGGCAUCAGAAGCAGAUGAUAACUUGAGACACAUAAGAGAUGAAGACAGAAGGUUCAGAAAGUUCUAUGGAAGAACCAAAAGAUUUGGCUUAGUUCCUACCUUAUAAGGUGCACAAGAGGGUUGAAGUUUUCCCACCGAUUUAGACAGAGUGAACUCUGAUGCAGCAGGACAGCUGGUGGAAGGGGUCAGCCAUUCCACCCCUGUCCAGGGGCCUAUUUGUUUCCUGUAAAAAAUACACUCACAUUUGGUGAACAGAGCUCUGAAACAGAAGGAACAGAACCUGGAAUCCUUCUGGUGACACCUGGAGCUACAAGAACACCUGUGAUGUAGGUAAGUACAUCUACCAUAAAUAGUUGUCGCUCUGUUACUCACUUACUCUUUAAGGAUAUUUUAAGGGUGACUGCUGGUUGGAAUGUAUGUGAUUUCUUGGUAAGACCUUUCGAUAAGAGUUGUUGUAUGAAAGACAUUGUCAUACAUAGAUGAAGGCACCUGGCUGUCACCAUGGCUAAGCCCAUGGUUCAGCACUGUUUGUAGAUCACCAUCUUACUG